GGAGGAGGCCAGGCGGUCGCCGGCUUUCUUUUGAAAGGCGGGAGGAAAGUCCGAGCUCCACAGGGCAGGGUGCUGGCUAACGGCCAGUGGGGGCGACCCCCAGGAAAGUGCCACAGAGAGCAGACCGCCCAGCUUUGGCAGGGUAAGGGUGAAACGGUGAGGUAAGAGCUCACCAGUCCCGGGGGUGACUCCGGGAGCUAGGUAAACCCCACCCGGAGCAAGACCAAAUAGGGGGGCGUUGGAGGACGGCCCGUCCGAGCCCCCGGGUUGGUCGCUGGAGGCGCCGGGUAACCGGCGUCCUAGAGGAAUGACCGCCGCCCCGGCCGGGGUAACCCGGUCGGGGAACAGGACUCGGCUUACGGCCUCCUCCGGCC
Molecule: RNase P RNA, 374 nt
Filed under: Deltaproteobacteria bacterium
Lineage: Bacteria; Pseudomonadati; Myxococcota; Myxococcia
Description: RNase P RNA component class A
Rfam family: Bacterial RNase P class A
About the family: Ribonuclease P (RNase P) is a ubiquitous endoribonuclease, found in archaea, bacteria and eukarya as well as chloroplasts and mitochondria.
Source: RNAcentral